Molecule: long non-coding RNA, 917 nt
Organism: Sorghum bicolor (sorghum)
Lineage: Eukaryota; Viridiplantae; Streptophyta; Magnoliopsida; Poales; Poaceae
Exons: 4
Source: RefSeq, a predicted model, not a curated record
CAUCCAUGGAGUGGAGUUGGGAUGAAGCUACCGUUACUUUUGAUUCAGAUGCCAUGCAAGUGUUCUGCUCAUGCAAAAAGUACGAUUGUUUUGGUAUGUUAUGCAAGCACAUACUACGAGUCUUCAGCCAAAUAGUAUUAUCAUGUUGCCUCCUAAGUACAUAUUGAGUCGGUGGACAAAGUAUGCAAAAAGAGGCAGCUUUUCUAAUAACAAGCAACAUCAGCAUGAUGACUUAGCAACUCAUAGUGCACUUCUCUCCCGAAAGAUGAUAUCAGUUGCGCUGAAAUGUGCAGUUUCAAAAAAGGUUCUUCAACACUUAGAUGAUGGUUUUGAUAAACUGACUUUAGAAGUCGAUAACUUAUUGAGUCAAGUCAACUUGAAUAAGAAAGAAGCACCACAAUGUUUUCUCAAGUGUACCCAAGAGGUUGCCAAGGAGCGCAUAUCAUUUAGAGUACCUCCACACAUAAAAGGCCCCACGCUUAAAAGAUAAAAAACUGUACUUGAAGGAGGAAAGAAAAACUGUUCAACUAAAAAGAAUGGAGGAAAGAAAAAUGCUGCUACAACUAAAAAAAAGAAAGAUGAUUCAAGGCAACAUGGAACUUCACAGCAGACUUCAGAUGCUACAAGGUUAACCUCUGUAAUUGGUUUGUACACGCUUUCUUCGACCACAUCUGCUCCUUCGACCACAUCUGCUCCUUCCAUCCAAGGUGGACUUGCAAGUCUGUUACGACGAGUUGAGCAAAUUGCCACAUCGUCAUCACCCGCUAGAAAGUUACAUUUUGAUUAAUGGCAUUUUGUGCUCCCUGUGAGACUAGUUCUUAUUUAUACAUGUCUGCUCCUUUCAUUUAAGAUGGAUAUACAAAUCUUUGGCCUUGUUUAGUUCCGAAAAGAUUUCGGAUUUCGGUACUGUAGCACUU